UACUGCUUUUUCACUUCACGA
This 21-nucleotide non-coding RNA is filed under the name Caenorhabditis elegans. Lineage: Eukaryota; Metazoa; Nematoda; Chromadorea; Rhabditida; Rhabditidae. The record is from RNAcentral.